UACCUCCUACGGGGGGCAGCAGUGAGGAAUAUUGGUCAAUGGUCGGGAGACUGAACCAGCCAAGCCGCGUGAGGGAGGAAGGUACAGAGUAUCGUAAACCUCUUUUGUCAGGGAACAAAGACUGGGACGCGUCCCCGGAUGAGUGUACCUGAAGAAAAAGCAUCGGCUAACUCCGUGCCAGCAGCCGCGGUAAUACGGAGGAUGCGAGCGUUAUCCGGAUUUAUUGGGUUUAAAGGGCGCGCAGGCGGAAGAUCAAGUCAGCGGUAAAAUUGAG
RNAcentral lists this ribosomal RNA (274 nucleotides) under uncultured bacterium. RNAcentral describes it as "partial 16S ribosomal RNA". It matches the Rfam family "Bacterial small subunit ribosomal RNA", at positions 333 to 604 of the family's 1533-position model. The record is from RNAcentral.